AGCAGUCGCCGCGGGAAUACGUAGGUGGCAAGCGUUGUCCGGAAUUAUUGGGCGUAAAGGGCUCGCAGGCGGUUUCUUAAGUCCGAUGUGAAAGCCCCCGGCUCAACCGGGGAGGGUCAUUGGAAACUGGGAAACUUGAGUGCAGAAGAGGAGAGUGGAACUCCACGUGUAGCGGUGAAAUGCGUAGAGAUGUGGAGGAACACCAGUGGCGAAGGCGACUCUCUGGUCUGUAACUGACGCUGAGGAGCGAAAGCGUGGGGAGCGAACAGGAUUAGAUACCCCGGUAGUCCCUGUCUCUUAUAC
RNAcentral lists this ribosomal RNA (303 nucleotides) under uncultured bacterium. RNAcentral describes it as "partial 16S ribosomal RNA". It matches the Rfam family "Bacterial small subunit ribosomal RNA", at positions 507 to 807 of the family's 1533-position model. The record is from RNAcentral.